AACGCUGGCGGCGUGCCUAACACAUGCAAGUCGAACGCGGUUAGUAGCAAUACUAACUGAGUGGCGAACGGGUGAGUAACACGUGGGUGACCUACCUUCGAGUGGGGGAUAACGUCCCGAAAGGGACGCUAAUACCGCAUAACAUCCUGCCUUUGAACAGGCGGUGAUCAAAGCCGGGGACCGUAAGGCCCGGCGCUUGAUGAGGGGCUCGCGUCUGAUUAGCUAGUUGGUGAGGUAAUGGCCCACCAAGGCGACGAUCAGUAUCCGGCCUGAGAGGGCGGACGGACACACUGGGACUGAGACACGGCCCAGACUCCUACGGGAGGCAGCAGUGGGGAAUUGUUCACAAUGGGCGCAAGCCUGAUGACGCAACGCCGCGUGGAGGAUGAAGGUCUUCGGAUUGUAAACUCCUGUUGCCCGGGACGAAAAGCUCUGACCUAACACGUCGGAGUCUGACGGUACCGGGUGAGGAAGCCCCGGCUAACUCUGUGCCAGCAGCCGCGGUAAUACAGAGGGGGCAAGCGUUGUUCGGAAUUACUGGGCGUAAAGGGCGCGUAGGCGGCCCGCUAAGUCGAACGUGAAAUCCCUGGGCUUAACCCAGGAACUGCGUCCGAUACUGGUGGGCUUGAAUCCGGGAGAGGGAUGUGGAAUUCCAGGUGUAGCGGUGAAAUGCGUAGAUAUCUGGAGGAACACCGGUGGCGAAGGCGACAUCCUGGACCGGUAUUGACGCUGAGGCGCGAAAGCCAGGGGAGCAAACG
Molecule: ribosomal RNA, 758 nt
Filed under: uncultured Acidobacteriota bacterium
Lineage: Bacteria; Pseudomonadati; Acidobacteriota
Description: bacterial SSU rRNA
Rfam family: Bacterial small subunit ribosomal RNA
Source: RNAcentral